RNAcentral lists this ribosomal RNA (484 nucleotides) under uncultured bacterium. Its description in RNAcentral is "partial 16S ribosomal RNA". It matches the Rfam family "Bacterial small subunit ribosomal RNA", at positions 29 to 507 of the family's 1533-position model. The record is from RNAcentral.
AUUGAACGCUGGCGGCAGGCCUAACACAUGCAAGUCGAGCGGAUGAAGGGAGCUUGCUCCUGGAUUCAGCGGCGGACGGGUGAGUAAUGCCUAGGAAUCUGCCUGGUAGUGGGGGAUAACGUCCGGAAACGGGCGCUAAUACCGCAUACGUCCUGAGGGAGAAAGUGGGGGAUCUUCGGACCUCACGCUAUCAGAUGAGCCUAGGUCGGAUUAGCUAGUUGGUGGGGUAAAGGCCUACCAAGGCGACGAUCCGUAACUGGUCUGAGAGGAUGAUCAGUCACGUGGGAAAGGAGACGCGGUGCAGACGCCUACGGGUGGCAACAGGAGGGAAUCGUCAGGAAUGGGCGAAAGUGUGACGGAGCAACGCGGAGUGAGUGAUGAAGGUCUUCUGAUGGGAAAACGCUUUGAUGAGAGAAGAAGAAAAGUCUCAGUAACAAUGCGCGUCUGGACGGGACCUAAUCAAAAAGCCACGGCUAACGACGUG